This 1443-nucleotide long non-coding RNA is filed under the name Oryza sativa (Asian cultivated rice). RNAcentral describes it as "long non-coding RNA (OSAT_LNC001201)". Lineage: Eukaryota; Viridiplantae; Streptophyta; Magnoliopsida; Poales; Poaceae. The record is from RNAcentral.
GAGGCCAACCAGUACCAGAUCCUGGUGCGGCUCCUCGACGGCCGCACACGCUGCCUCCGCUUCUCGACGACGACCGUCUCCGGCGCGGCGCUCCUCGACGCCGUCUCGGCGCUCUCCCGCGUCCCCGCCGCGUCCCUCCGCCUCGUCACCGGCCGCCUCGACGUCUCGCCGUCCUCCGUCCUCGCCUCCUCCGCCGACGGCCGAUUCCCCUCCGCAUCCGCGCUCCUUCGCCUCCGCGGAGGCAAGGGCGGGUUUGGCUCGCUCCUCCGUGGCGCCGCCUCCAAGGCCGGCCAGAAGAAGACCAGCAACUUCGACGCCUGCCGCGAUAUCAACGGCCGCCGCCUGCGCCACGUUAACGCCGAGCGCCGCCUCGAGGAGUGGAAGGCCGAGGCCGCAGAUCGCCAGCUCGAGAAGCUCGCGGAGGAUUUCAUCAAGAAGAAGGCUAAGGAAGCGGGUCGCGGUGGUGUGAAGGCGGCCGAGGUGGACAAAUACCUCGAGAAGUACCGCAAGGAUGCCGAGAGUUGCGUUAAUGCGGUUGAGGAGUCUGUGCGCGCCUCUCUUGGGAAGAGGAAGACCGUGCCCAAGCCACGCGGUGGGGAAGAUGCCAAGAAGCUUAAGAUUUGGUGAGUGCCUCAAGAAUGACUUAUCUGUUGUGGUCUUUACUCUAUUUUGUUGUAUGUUUAUGAAAAAAAUUGGUUAAUUUGCUGCGAGUCAGUUCAAUUGCAAUCCAUUGGAAUAAAUUAGAAGCAAGUAGGUUCAAUUGUAGUCCAUUGGAAUAAAUAAGGAGCUUCCAUCUUCUUGAAUGAUCCGAUCAAUUAGCUUAGUCGGUUAAAAGUUUUGUACAGAACUCCAGAUGCCGAGUUGAAAUUUGUGCUUGCUCGGAGCUGUUGUAUGCUUGAUUUUGCUGGAACAUACACAGCUAUAAUGAGAUCUAGCUAGUUUAUGUAAGUGUGUGAUUUGUUAGAAGGAAAUUUGUCUUUGUUAUGCUGCCGUCUUGCGCUUAAAUUAAUCAAGCAUGGUAUGCAGACUUUGUGUAGCAAAAGUUAUCAACCAUCUGAAGAGUGGCCAACAUAUUAUUCCAUUUGUGUUGUGAAGUCCCUGAUUUAAUUCAUUUUUGUAGGCUGGGCAAGAAGAAGGUACAAGAGGAUGAGAGUGAUAGCGAUAGUGACAGUGAAAUGGAUGAUGAUGAGGGUGCAGAUACAAAAUCCAUAAUUCUUGAUGAUGGGAAUUCCUCGCAUGGAUCCAAAAGUGAGGACGAGAAGGUUGAUCUGGGUUCAAUUACUGAAUCACCUUCAGAAGGAGAGACCUCAGGUGAGAAGUCUGGACGCUCUGAAUCAGAGGAGAAUGGAAACGGUGUUCAGGAGUCCAGGGAACCUACAAUUAGGUCAGAAGGUGAAUGCGGUGAUUUUAUAUCAGAUGGUGUGGUGGAGCAUGAGAUUGGAG